Long non-coding RNA from Cyprinus carpio carpio, 462 nucleotides. The record is from Ensembl. Lineage: Eukaryota; Metazoa; Chordata; Actinopteri; Cypriniformes; Cyprinidae.
UCAAAAAUAUCUGUCUGAGAAAAUUCAAUAAAACUCCCCAGUCAAUAUGAGCUGUGGAAAAAUAGAUCUAGGAGUUAUAUACAGCUUUUUUUUUUUUUUUUUACUGCGGAUGCCAUUAAAACACGAUUUCACAAGAUUUCUGUAUCCUGUAUCCUGAUGCAGCGAGGAAACUGUUUGAAAACUGGACCACGAUAAGUGAAAGAAUUCUUCCAUAUGCCCAGCAAGAGGGUAAACUGCCCUCAGUACUGGGUGACAUGACACCAGUCUUCAAUAGGAUCCUUGCUGUUACGUCUCCUCUACUUCUCUGUCUACCACCACUGUUGCAGUUUCAAACUUAUAUCAUUCAUAGCCUAUAUUUAGCACAAAAAUUCUAAAUAGUCCCCAUAAAUUUAGAAACUUGAUGUGGGUAUUCUUAGUCAGUCAGUCAUUUUACAAUGAUAAAAUUAAAUUAAAAAAGCUUAA